Molecule: non-coding RNA, 315 nt
Organism: Paralichthys olivaceus (Japanese flounder)
Lineage: Eukaryota; Metazoa; Chordata; Actinopteri; Pleuronectiformes; Paralichthyidae
Source: RefSeq, a predicted model, not a curated record
CGCCCACACCGCCCGACAGGCCGGGGCCCAUAACGCUGCCGUACCCGGUGUCUCCUGCGUCCAGCGGCAUCCUGUCCGUCUGCAGGAUGUACCCUUCCUCUCGCCCAAUGACAACCAGGGAUCGGCUCCACACAACCCUUAAAAGGAUGAGCAGUGUAGAUAAUGGACGGAUGAUUUUCAGCUCACUCCUGAAUACGUCAAAUGUGAAACCUGAUGAGUGAAUCAAUGACGUGAUCCAGCAGGUUUCUGGAGCAGUACUGUGCCACGGUGGUCCCGGCAUGUCCGUCAAAAACAGCAAAGUACCCCCACUCUGUC